This 1234-nucleotide long non-coding RNA is filed under the name Mus musculus (house mouse). Its description in RNAcentral is "long non-coding RNA chr6:146762580-146763814". The record is from RNAcentral. Lineage: Eukaryota; Metazoa; Chordata; Mammalia; Rodentia; Muridae.
AGGGUUUCUCUGUGUAGCUCUGGCUGUCCUGGAACUCACUCUGUAGACCAGGCUGGCCUUGAACUCAGAAAUACGCCUGCCUCUGCCUCCCAAGUGCUGGAAUUAAUGGCGUGCGCCACCACCACCCGGCUUUUUUCUUAAUUCUUGUAAAUAGCUUGUAGAAAAUGUUAACUCAUUUUGCUUCUAAAAAUCAACAGCUCAUAAUGUCUGUUUUUAAACAUCCCUUUUUUUUUUUUCUGUAGAGGUACUUUAAAGUGCCUGUGUUUAUUGUUAGGCCCUGUGCUAGGGCCUUGAAGAUGUUGUGGAGAAGAGAACAAAUUCUCUCAACCUUGAUGUUGAAACUAUCAGUAUAAGGGAUUGGAAUUUCUUAAAAACAAAACAAAAAAACUUUAAGAUUUCUUAAACAAUGUGAAUGUGGAGUGCAUGUGGCACCCAUAGGACAGCCUGGGGUGUCAGUCCUUAACAGUACUGUCUGCUGUCUACUGUGUACUGUGAAAUAGUUCAUGAGUGAGCUGUGAAACCAUUAAAUUGUGACCAUUUACAACAAAACAGUGGCCAAGACGAAGUUGUUAGUGUUAAUAUCUCAGAACUUUGAAAUACCCUUUCUGUUUUAAAAACACCUUGGCAUCUUGCAGAUUGAGACUCUUACCCAUUUGAAAAGGAAUGGAGUCUGUAAUCUUGGCACUAGGGAGUGAGAGAUAAAAGAUUCUCAGUUUCAGAAUGAGACUGAUUCAAAACAUGGGGAGAAUAUAUAUUAAUUAACAAGAAUCAUCAAAAAUGGAUGUUUAUUAAUGGAAAACUGAAAUGAGUGAUUUAAGCUGCAGAAGAGAGCCAUGAAGCAGCAGGAGGGAAGGGGGGAACACAGAGACCUUGGCUUUUAGUACACACUGAGCAGAUGCAGCAAGGGCUCUUCAUGGGCUUUAAAACGCCGAUGUUGCUUCAUUUACCCCCAGACUGCAAUACUGACUGAAGGGCUAAAGUCACUGAGUAGGUUUUCCUGAGGCCAGUGGUUUAAUGCACACUGUGGUUUCCCUUUUGUUGUUGAGGGGCUAUGCUCUGGUAGACAGGAGCACCUAUCAGAUACUCAGUGACUAAUUUUUGUUGUUGUUUUGGUUUUUGGUAGACUCUUGUCUAGACUGUAAGCACAUUUUAUGAAACUGGACAGCCAGGUCUCUUCUGUUUAGAUGAGACAGGUUUCUGUAGCUAAACAGAACUGUGCUGUUCUGUAACCAUG